This 71-nucleotide transfer RNA is filed under the name Nemipterus japonicus (Japanese threadfin bream). Its description in RNAcentral is "tRNA-Trp". It matches the Rfam family "tRNA". From Rfam's summary of the family: Transfer RNA (tRNA) molecules are approximately 80 nucleotides in length. Lineage: Eukaryota; Metazoa; Chordata; Actinopteri; Spariformes; Nemipteridae. The record is from RNAcentral. RNAcentral also lists the same sequence under 1 other name.
AGAGACUUAGGUUAGUACCAGACCAAGAGCCUUCAAAGCCCUAAGCGAGAGUGAAAAUCUCCCAGUCCCUG